AUAGGCGGGGGAAAAGAAACUAACAAGGAUUCCCCUAGUAGCGGCGAGCGAAGCGGGAAGAGCUCAAAUUUAUAAUCUGGCACCUUCGGUGUCCGAGUUGUAAUCUCUAGAAGUGUUUUCCGCGUUGGACCGCACACAAGUCUGUUGGAAUACAGCGGCAUAGUGGUGAAACCCCCGUAUAUGGUGCGGACGCCCAGCGCUUUGUGAUACACUUUCAAUGAGUCGAGUUGUUUGGGAAUGCAGCUCAAAUUGGGUGGUAAAUUCCAUCUAAAGCUAAAUAUUGGCGAGAGACCGAUAGCGAACAAGUACCGUGAGGGAAAGAUGAAAAGCACUUUGGAAAGAGAGUUAACAGUACGUGAAAUUGUUGGAAGGGAAACGCUUGAAGUCAGACUUGCUUGCCGGAGCUUGCUUCGGUUUGCAGGCCAGCAUCAGUUUUCCGGGGUGGAUAAUAACGGUUUGAAGGUAGCAGUCUCGGCUGUGUUAUAGCUUUCCGUUGGAUACAUCCUGGGGGACUGAGGAACGCAGCGUGCUUUUUGCGAAAGACUCGUCUUUUCACGCUUAGGAUGCGGGAA
RNAcentral lists this ribosomal RNA (572 nucleotides) under Rhodotorula glutinis. RNAcentral's name for it is "eukaryotic LSU rRNA". It matches the Rfam family "Eukaryotic large subunit ribosomal RNA", at positions 46 to 631 of the family's 3401-position model. Lineage: Eukaryota; Fungi; Basidiomycota; Microbotryomycetes; Sporidiobolales; Sporidiobolaceae. The record is from RNAcentral.